RNAcentral lists this unclassified non-coding RNA (273 nucleotides) under fungal sp. RNAcentral's name for it is "partial internal transcribed spacer region". The record is from RNAcentral. Lineage: Eukaryota; Fungi.
AAGUUGUAAUAAGGUUUUUGUAGAUAAACUUGUGGAAGGAUUAUUAUUAAAGAUUGAGAGAUCAAUUUUAAUUUGUUCGAUGUUUAGAGAUUCUAAAUUCUGAAUUGGUUAAUUUUUUGUGAAUUAAAAAAUUUUUUCAUUUUGGUAGUUGGGUUUAACCGCUUGUUAGUUUGUUGCUAGUAUUAAUUUUUUAAACUUGUUGUUAAAUAUUAUCUGAUGAUUAAAAUUUUCAAAUAAAAAUUAAAAUUUUUAAUAAUGGAUUUUUUGGUUUUU